RNAcentral lists this ribosomal RNA (409 nucleotides) under Marinobacter sp. AND5. RNAcentral describes it as "bacterial SSU rRNA". It matches the Rfam family "Bacterial small subunit ribosomal RNA", at positions 98 to 503 of the family's 1533-position model. The record is from RNAcentral. Lineage: Bacteria; Pseudomonadati; Pseudomonadota; Gammaproteobacteria; Pseudomonadales; Marinobacteraceae.
GCGGACGGCUGAGUAAUGCAUAGGAAACUGCCCAGUAGUGGGGGAUAGCCCGGGGAAACCCGGAUUAAUACCGCNNACGCCCUUCGGGGGAAAGCAGGGGAUCUUCGGACCUUGCGCUAUUGGAUGUGCCUAUGUNGGAUUAGCUAGUUGGUGGGGUAAAGGCCUACCAAGGCGACGAUCCGUAGCUGGUCUGAGAGGAUGAUCAGCCACAUCGGGACUGAGACACGGCCCGAACUCCUACGGGAGGCAGCAGUGGGGAAUAUUGGACAAUGGGGGCAACCCUGAUCCAGCCAUGCCGCGUGUGUGAAGAAGGCUUUCGGGUUGUAAAGCACUUUCAGUGAGGAGGAAAACUCUGCGACUAAUACUCGUAGGGCUUGACGUUACUCACAGAAGAAGCACCGGCUAACUC